This is a non-coding RNA of Desmophyllum pertusum, 73 nucleotides long. NCBI's taxonomy places the organism in Eukaryota, Metazoa, Cnidaria, Anthozoa, Scleractinia, Caryophylliidae. The record is from the annotation of a GenBank genome assembly.
GGCUUCAUAGCUCAGUUGGAGAAGCAUCGCACCAGUAACGCAGAGGAGUUGGGUUCAAAUCCCGUUGACGCCC